RNAcentral lists this ribosomal RNA (497 nucleotides) under uncultured bacterium. RNAcentral describes it as "partial 16S ribosomal RNA". It matches the Rfam family "Bacterial small subunit ribosomal RNA", at positions 28 to 507 of the family's 1533-position model. The record is from RNAcentral.
GAUGAACGCUGGCGGCGUGCCUAAUACAUGCAAGUCGAGCGAACAGACGAGGAGCUUGCUCCUCUGACGUUAGCGCCGGACGGGUGAGUAACACGUGGAUAACCUACCUAUAAGACUGGGAUAACUUCUGGAAACCGGAGCUAAUACCGGGUAAUAUAUUGAACCGCAUGGUUCAAUAGUGAAAGACGGUUUUGCUGUCACUUAUAGAUAGAUCCGCGCCGCAUUAGCUAGUUGGUAAGGUAACGGCUUACCAAGGCAACGAUGCGUAGCCGACCUGAGAGGGUGAUCGGCCACACUGGAGCUGAGACACGGUCCAGACUCCUACGGGAGGCAGCAGUAGGGAAUCUUCCGCAAUGGGCGAAAGCCUGACGGAGCAACGCCGCGUGAGUGAUGAAGGUCUUCGGAUCGUAAAACUCUGUUAUUAGGGAAGACCAAAUGUGUAAGUAACUAUGCACGUCUUGACGGUACCUAAGCAGAAAGCCACGGCUAACUACGUG